UCGAGAAUAUUUCGCAAUGGGCGAAAGCCUGACGAAGCGACGCCGUGUGAAUGAAGAAGGCCUUCGGGUUGUAAAGUUCUGUCGCCUAAGAACAAGGGUGUGCUAGGAUAAUGAGUACACUUUGAGUGUAUUAGGAAAGGAAGCACCGGCUAACUCCGUGCCAGCAGCUGCGGUAAUACGGAGGGUGCAAGCGUUAGUCGGAAUUACUGGGCGUAAAGGGUGCGUAGGCGGACUCAUAAGUCAGACGUGAAAUUCCGUGGCUCAACCACGGAGCUGCAUCUGAAACUAUGAGUCUAGCGGAAUGGCGGAGAAAACGGAAUUCCACGUGUAGCGGUGAAAUGCGUAGAUAUGUGGAAGAACACCAGUGGCGAAAGCGGUUUUCUAGCUUAAUCCGGACGCUGAGGCACGAAAGCAAGGGGAUCAAACAGGAUUAGAUACCCCCGUAGUCC
Molecule: ribosomal RNA, 449 nt
Filed under: uncultured bacterium
Lineage: Bacteria
Description: bacterial SSU rRNA
Rfam family: Bacterial small subunit ribosomal RNA
Source: RNAcentral